Molecule: long non-coding RNA, 1833 nt
Organism: Chroicocephalus ridibundus (black-headed gull)
Lineage: Eukaryota; Metazoa; Chordata; Aves; Charadriiformes; Laridae
Exons: 4
Source: RefSeq, a predicted model, not a curated record
AAAUGGAAAUUUUUCAUUGCACCUUCCCAGCUGCAGCAAGUCUCUUCUCAAGUAGAGGCUGCGAUCUCCGAUCAAAACCAGAGUGAAUAAGUACUACUACAAUAGCAGGGGGUUAAAAAACAAUGGCUGAUGAGAGACUGAGGCUAACUUGUAAGACACUUGUCAUAUGCUUCAAGUAUAUUUGACAAUCUUCCUCCAGAAAACUGACCCCUUUCUCACCCUCACAGUCUCUACUCUUGGAUAAAACAUUUCUUUUAUCCAUAAGGUAACUUUCCUGCUGACAGAGGCUAAGGAAAACUGUAGCCAGGGCUGCCUGCAAGGAUGGGUGAGAAGAAUGAGUAAAGUUGUCAAACUGCUUUUGCAUAAGAAACGCUCAAACAUACUGAAUCACUCUUUCCUGGAAAAGAAAUGACAGUGGAGGAUGUGACAGAAGGCAUGAAUUGACCACAGAAACUGGGUGUCUCUGUGAUCUCAAAGGAGCAAAACAGAGGGAAAGUCUUCUGAAACCAUGCUCAGUGCAUAGCAGCACAGGUGAAUGAAAGAAAGAAGGUUCAGAUGUAUUCAUUUAGCCCCCAGCCUAUAAGACGCACCAAGUUUCCCAAAAAGUCACCAUGAGGCUGCAAACAUAUCUUGUGAAGAUGGAUUCCACAGAUGGCUGACCACGAAAGUGUCUGAACCAGAUCUCAAUGCCAUUUUGACUCACUUGGAUUGCUGCGCUGCAAGAAGAGGUGAAGUUGGGGCGAUCAGGAAACUCUGCCACAGUUUUCAUUCAACCUGUAUCUUCUAUGAAGUUGGUAAGAAGUAACUAAGGAGAAGACACCAAGUACUGAAGCACUGAGAAGCGGAGGGGCAGGCAGAGAGCUGAGCUGGACAUGGGAGACAAAAGCCAAAGGAUCAAAGCAUGAAGAGCUAGUCUCCACAGACUGCACCAAACCAAGGGAUAAAUAUGUUUUCUUUUUAAUUUUCUGGCAUUACAGUAUUGAAAGCCAGCCUUAACGGUUGUCCAGCAAGAUUGACUUUUUAUUGUGCUUGUCUAAACUCGUUAAUGAGAACAUUGCUCUUAAAAGUUAGUCUAAGAAAAUACCAAAAUGAGCAAUGCUCCACUUCCUCUCUCAGUCCAUCCCUUUUAUCCAACUUCUUUAGUCUUUUCUUUCCAGCCCUUUGCCUUCUCCUUGGUCUAUUCCUGCUGCCCUCUAUGUGUCAAACUCAUUGAUUGCUUACUGUAAUUAAUGAGUUGAUAAGUCUGGGAGAGUAAGAACCGAACAGUACACCUUUAUUGGCACAUUUCUACACGAUAUUAACACGUGGUGAGUUGCCAGGGAAUUGGAGGGUGGAAAGCGGCCCUUUGGUUGACAAAACCUGGUCUAUUUUUUUUCAUUUCCUUGCUGAUGAGUAGCUUCCACUUAGGAGCCAGCACCAAGUCCCAAGGGGAUUUCAUGGAAAUUGUUAUUAAUAAUCCUCCUGUUUCUCUGUUCAACCUUCCAGCAUGCUGUUUCCUCUUUCUUAUCUUCCUCUAACUUUGAUGGCAGCUUUCCAGGAGCAAUAAAUUCAGGAGCCUGUGUAUCAUUGAACAGAAGUGUCCACUAGCACUCACAGAAGACUUUCUGCCUGCAGACGAGGACAGGAUGACCCCAGUGGCAUUCAGACCCAUGCUUACCCUAUGCAAUGGCUGUCAAAGACCUUUCAGACUCUCUCAUCAGGCAGCACUUCAUUUUUUCUCCCUCCAAAUGUGUAACUUACGAUGUCUUGAUUUUUUCAUAUAUUUAUGACACACUUCCCAGUGUUUUACUCGCCUUUUGGGAUGGAAAAUGCUAGGAAUCCCUUCUACACACA